Molecule: long non-coding RNA, 797 nt
Filed under: Theobroma cacao (cacao)
Lineage: Eukaryota; Viridiplantae; Streptophyta; Magnoliopsida; Malvales; Malvaceae
Description: long non-coding RNA (TCAC_LNC002711)
Source: RNAcentral
CGUAAAUAAUUUUUACAGUAUAAAAGCAAAAUAAAUUCCUACUUACAGUAGUACAGAUAACUAGAGUAUAAAAUUUAAUUUACAGUGACACGUGAGCCCACGAAUGACUAGAACUAUCAAAAGAAUCGAACCUAAAUAUUUUGAGGAUGCCAAUCCAAUUGUAGUUCUCAAUGAAAUGAGCUAUUUACUGACUAUCCUGAUGCCUGAAAAGAGUGAAAAAGAGGGUGGUGAGAUUAUAUAAUCCUAGUAAGUAAACAAAUAUCAUUUAAAAUAUCUAAAGGCGAGUAAUAGGAGACUAGUAAAGUAUUUCAUCCAAAUAUGUUUUUCAGAACACAAAUAUUCAUUUCAUUUAAAAACAUUAAUAUGACUUAUGGGUAUCUUAAAAGCUUGGCUCGUGCCAGAAAUCAUUAUCAUACUCAGUUAUUAGGGAUACCUUGGCCGAGGGCUAUCCUAAACCGAGUCCGCCAAGGUUAUUAAAAAGUUAUGUACGCAUAAAACAUGUUUUUAUUUUGAAAAUGUAGCCGUUCCUUGGCGUUAGCCGAGUUUCUCCUCACGUGGUGGUUUACGUGAAGUGAACUCUAAAGUCAUACCUCGGGAGUUAUCCUACUCGCCUUUCCAACCGAAGUAAAAUAUAUAAAUAUUCAGAUUCCGCCUACUGCAGCAAGCUAAACCCAAAAUAAGCAAGUACAUACCUUCGCAUAUAUUAGUACAGUAAUAGUCGUCGUGGGUGUGCUCUGUCAUUCUGCAGACACAUAGAUGUGUGGAGCUUAAGUUUGUCCAACAAUAUUCUUCAUUCU